Molecule: long non-coding RNA, 1070 nt
Organism: Homo sapiens (human)
Lineage: Eukaryota; Metazoa; Chordata; Mammalia; Primates; Hominidae
Gene: OLMALINC
Product: oligodendrocyte maturation-associated long intergenic non-coding RNA
Source: Ensembl
UUUUUUCCUUUUUUUUUUUUUCCCGGGGAGUCGGCCUCGGGGCUCUGCUCUCCUACCUCAGUCUGCCCUACCCUGGAAUGGGGAAAAUGCGGACAUGCCACUCAGUCCGGCCGCGAACAGUGCUCCAGAACUCAGAGAGUUUUCCAGACGGGUGGAGAUCGCGUUCCCUGCCCGCCGAGGUCCCAUCGCUUCCCUGCUGGGAAGACAAAUGAGGCGCUUUAGCCGUCUCCACGGCCAGCCCCUCCCUCAUAACCCGAGAUUCUUUGUGGGCUCUUAGUCCAUAGCUGCCUUUGAGGUGGUGUAGACCUUGCUAACCAGGACGGCCCAGUAGGCAGAGCUCAUUUUUAUUCCUGUCUGCAAUCGUGCAAAAACGCCUCUUAUGGAAAAGCCAGAGCGCCAGGAGUCAGCAAAACACACUAAAGAUUGGGCAGUCACUGGGGAGAACGUGAGUAAAAGCACAGGAACAGCAAAGCGUUCAGGAACGUUCGAGGCUGACGCAACCGGCGCAGGAAGACUCAGCCCGCCUGCACCCAGGUGAAAUAUACAGCCUUGUUGCUCACACAAAGCCUGUUUGGUGGUUUCUUCACACGGAUGCAUGUGACAUUUGGUGCUGAAGACCCAGGACAGGAGGACUCCUUUGGGAGACCAGUGCCCUGUUGUCGCCCUCACUCCGUGAGGAGAUCCACCUAUGAUCUCAGGUCCUCAGACCAACCAGCCCAAGGAACAUCUUGCCAAUUUCAAAUCGGAUAGGAGUGUCAGGCCUCUGAGUCCAAGCUAAGCCAUCAAAUCCCCUGUGACCUGCACGUGUACAUCCAGAUGACCUGAAGCAACUGAAGAUCCACAAAAGAAGUGAAAGUAGCCUUAACUGAUGACAUUCCACCAUUGUGAUUUGUUCCUGCCCCACGCUAACUGAUACCAUAUAUUCUUCCCCCGCCCUUGAGAAUGUACUUUGUACACCUAUCCCAAACCUAUAAGAACUAAUGAUAAUCCUACCACCCUUUGCUGACUCUCUUUUUGGACUCAGCCCGCCUGCACCCAGGUGAAAUAAACAGCCCUGUUGCUCACACAAA